This 31-nucleotide ribosomal RNA is filed under the name Scedosporium minutisporum. RNAcentral's name for it is "partial 18S ribosomal RNA". Lineage: Eukaryota; Fungi; Ascomycota; Sordariomycetes; Microascales; Microascaceae. The record is from RNAcentral.
UCUCCGUUGGUAACCAGCGGAGGGAUCAUUA